GUGGGCAACCUGCCUCAUAGAGGGGAAUAGCCUUUCGAAAGGAAGAUUAAUACCGCAUAAGAUUGUAGCUUCGCAUGAAGUAGCAAUUAAAGGAGCAAUCCGCUAUGAGAUGGGCCCGCGGCGCAUUAGCUAGUUGGUGAGGUAACGGCUCACCAAGGCGACGAUGCGUAGCCGACCUGAGAGGGUGAUCGGCCACAUUGGGACUGAGACACGGCCCAGACUCCUACGGGAGGCAGCAUG
RNAcentral lists this ribosomal RNA (240 nucleotides) under uncultured bacterium. Its description in RNAcentral is "partial 16S ribosomal RNA". It matches the Rfam family "Bacterial small subunit ribosomal RNA", at positions 117 to 353 of the family's 1533-position model. The record is from RNAcentral.